This 486-nucleotide ribosomal RNA is filed under the name uncultured bacterium. Its description in RNAcentral is "partial 16S ribosomal RNA". It matches the Rfam family "Bacterial small subunit ribosomal RNA", at positions 28 to 507 of the family's 1533-position model. The record is from RNAcentral.
GACGAACGCUGGCGGCGUGCUUAACACAUGCAAGUCGAACGCUGAAGACCUGGCUUUUGUUGGGUUGGAUGAGUGGCGAACGGGUGAGUAACACGUGAGUAACCUGCCCUCUUCUUUGGGAUAACGCCCGGAAACGGGUGCUAAUACUGGAUAUUCACUGAUCUUCGCAUGGGGGUUGGUGGAAAGGUUUGUUCUGGCGGGGGAUGGGCUCGCGGCCUAUCAGCUUGUUGGUGGGGUGAUGGCCUACCAAGGCUUUGACGGGUAGCCGGCCUGAGAGGGUGACCGGUCACAUUGGGACUGAGAUACGGCCCAGACUCCUACGGGAGGCAGCAGUGGGGAAUAUUGCACAAUGGGCGAAAGCCUGAUGCAGCGACGCCGCGUGAGGGAUGGAGGCCUUCGGGUUGUAAACCUCUUUCGCUCAUGGUCAAGCCGCAACUGUGGGUUGUGGUGAGGGUAGUGGGUAAAGAAGCGCCGGCUAACUACGUG